This 219-nucleotide ribosomal RNA is filed under the name uncultured bacterium. RNAcentral describes it as "partial 16S ribosomal RNA". It matches the Rfam family "Bacterial small subunit ribosomal RNA", at positions 524 to 741 of the family's 1533-position model. The record is from RNAcentral.
UACAGAGGGUGCAAGCGUUGUUCGGAAUCAUUGGGCGUAAAGGGCGCGUAGGCGGUUGUGCAAGUCAAAUGUGAAAGCCCAGGGCUCAACCUUGGAAGUGCAUCUGAAACUGCGCAACUAGAGUCUCGGAGAGGGUGGUAGAAUUCCCAGUGUAGAGGUGAAAUGCGUAGAGUAUUCGCAAGAACACCAGUGGCGAAGGCGGCUCACUGGCCCGAUACU